UUGCCUUUUCUUUCAGAUCAUUCACAGCUUUGUGGAAAUCACCUGUGUCGCUGAUGUUUAGGCCGAGCAAUGCUGCUGAUGAACGUGCCUUCUCCCAGAUGGCAUCGAUAAAAAAACAAGCUGAGAAACAGAAUGCAGGAAAUAUCCCUUGAGAACAUCAUGAGGGUCGGCGGAGUCCGAGCCCACACGCAAAGGAACAACAUACACUGCCACAAAUUCAGGCCGUCAGCGAGGAUGCUCUCAUUGCUCACCGCUGACAUCUACUCAGCACAACUGGCUGAGGUAGACGAGGACAACCCUCUUAUCUAACAGAAGAGAGGAAACAGAGUGUAAAUAGUUCAAUUUGAUGCAAAUAUUUUGGAUCCCUGGAACAAAAGAGAACAGAGUGGCAGUUCUAGUGGCAGUUCACAGCAGGAGGAGAGUGCUCUGGAUACGGGCAGGGAGUUUGCUGAACACAAGAAAAAAGAAAGGUGAGUAACCUUUAUAGGUGUUAUUUUUGGGUCUGCACACGCACUUCCUUCAGUCAUCUUUCCGGUAAAGUCUCGUUUACCCCUGUUUCUCUAACUCAUCCCUCAUUAUCUCUCUGUCUGUUGCUCUACUCUCUGUCGAGCAACAUGGGGAAUGGCAGCAGCAGCAAUUUGUAUGGGGCUCACCUCAUCCUCUAGGAGGAGGGCUACUACCAAACCAGCCCUACUGUCUUGAGGGAGGAUGGAUGACUGAGUCCAGUAUGUCAGAGGAAGGCCCAAAAAAUUGCCAAAGACUCCAGCCACCCUAGUCAUAGACUGUUCUCUCUGCCUACCGCACAGCAAGCGGUACCGGGGCGCCAAGUCUAGGUCCAAAAGGCUUUGUAACAGCUUCUUCCCCCAAGCCAUAAGACUGCUGAACAGCUAAUCAAAUGGCUACCUGGACUAUUUGCAUCCCCCCCACCCUCAUUUUUAUGCUGCUGCUACUCUCUGUUUAUUACCCAUACAUGGUCACUUUACCUCUACCUACAUGUACAUAUUACCUCAAUUACCUCGACUAACCUGUGCCUCCGCACAUUGACUCUGUACCAGUACCCACUGUAUAUAGCCUCGCUACUGUUAUUUUAUUGUUGCUCCUUAAUUAUUUGGGUUUUUUUUUGGUUUGUUUACUUCAGUUUAUUUUAGUAAAUAAUUUCUUAACACCUUCUUAACCCUUUUUUUUCUUAAAACUGCAUUGUUGGUUAAGGGCUUGUAAGUAAACAUUUCACCCGAAGGUCUGUUGUAUUUGGCCCACAAAUACUAUUUAAUUCGAUUUGACUGGGAUAUCAGGCUGCAACCACACAUUAAUUUACAUUUAUUAUGAAAUAAAAUAAGCCAAAAAGCAAACUGUUGGGGCUUUGAGAUUUGUAUAGUCCAGUUUGAAGGAAUACAAUUAUUUUAGAGCAAUGUGACUUGUAU
Non-coding RNA from Salmo salar (Atlantic salmon), 1421 nucleotides. The record is from RefSeq and is a predicted model, not a curated record. Lineage: Eukaryota; Metazoa; Chordata; Actinopteri; Salmoniformes; Salmonidae.